This 871-nucleotide ribosomal RNA is filed under the name uncultured archaeon. RNAcentral describes it as "bacterial SSU rRNA". It matches the Rfam family "Archaeal small subunit ribosomal RNA", at positions 4 to 882 of the family's 1478-position model. The record is from RNAcentral.
CUGGUUGAUCCUGCCAGAAGUCACUGCUAUCGGGGUUCGAUUAAGCCAUGCGAGUUGAGAGGGUUAAGACCCUCGGCGGACUGCUCAGUAACACGUGGAUAGCCUGCCCUAAGGUGGAGGAUAACCCCGGGUAACUGGGGAUAAUACUCCAUAGGUUAAAGGUACUGGAAUGUUCUUUAACCGAAAGUUCCGGCGCCUUAGGAUGGAUCUGCGGCCGAUUAGGUUGUUGUUGGGGUAGUGGCCCAACAAGCCUGUAAUCGGUACGGGUUGUGGGAGCAAGAGCCCGGAGAUGGAAUCUGAGACACGAUUCCAGGCCCUACGGGGCGCAGCAGGCGCGAAAACUUUACAAUGCAGGAAACUGUGAUAAGGGAACCCCGAGUGCCCGUAUAUGCGGGCUGUCCGGAUGUUUAAAACGCAUCCGAAGAAAGGGCCGGGCAAGACCGGUGCCAGCCGCCGCGGUAAUACCGGCGGCUCGAGUGAUGGCCACUUUUAUUGGGCUUAAAGCGUUCGUAGCUUGAAUAAUAAGUCUCUUGGGAAAUCUGCAGGCUUAACCUGCAGGCGUUUAAGAGAAACUGUUGUUCUAGGAACCGGAAGAGGUGAGAGGUACUCCGGGGGUAGGAGUGAAAUCCUGUAAUCCCCGGGGGACCACCGAUGGCGAAGGCAUCUCACCAGGACGGCUUCGACAGUGAGGAACGAAAGCUGGGGGAGCGAACCGGAUUAGAUACCCGGGUAGUCCCAGCCGUAAACGAUGUGCGUUAGGUGUGCCGGUGACCACGAGUCACUGGGGUGCCGAAGGGAAACCGUGAAACGUACCGCCUGGGAAGUACGGUCGCAAGGCUGAAACUUAAACGAAUUGGCGGGGGAGCACCAC